This is a non-coding RNA of Pelobates cultripes (western spadefoot toad), 249 nucleotides long. Lineage: Eukaryota; Metazoa; Chordata; Amphibia; Anura; Pelobatidae. The record is from the annotation of a GenBank genome assembly.
CCAGAUCACCAAAGCAUAUCACUUAAAUAAAGACUUUAGUCCUGGAUGCCGCUCACAUUUGUGGAGCGUUGUUGGCAGCUGGUGAACAUGAGGAAAGUAAUGCUCUUUGUACAGCUAACAAUGGGACAAACAGGCAAUUCCAAUGUACGAUAAAGUCUUUAGGGACUAGGAAGCCUCACAACUACAGUUCCUGGAGCAUCCUGGUACUAUCACCUGCUUUAAAGGACCACUAUAGUGCCAUGAAAACAC